GACAGAGGGUGCAAACGUUGUUCGGAAUUACUGGGCAUAAAGAGCACGUAGGUGGUUCGCUAAGUCACGUGUGAAAUCCCCCGGCUUAGCCGGGGAAUUGCGCGUGAUACUGGCGAACUCGAGGCGGGUAGGGGUGAGCGGAACUCCAGGUGGAGCGGUGAAAUGCGUAGAUAUCUGGAGGAACACCGGUGGCGAAAGCGGCUCACUGGACCCGAUCUGACACUGAGGUGCGAAAGCUAGGGUAGCAAACGGG
Molecule: ribosomal RNA, 253 nt
Filed under: uncultured bacterium
Lineage: Bacteria
Description: partial 16S ribosomal RNA
Rfam family: Bacterial small subunit ribosomal RNA
Source: RNAcentral